GCGAGUGAAGAGGGAAAAGCUCAAAUUUUGAAUCCGACGUCUUCGGCGUCCGAGUUGUAAUCUAGAGAAGUGUUUUCCGUGUCGGACCGUGCACAAGUUCCCUGGAACGGGGCGUCAUAGAGGGUGAGAAUCCCGUACGUGGCACGGACUCCCGGUGCUCUGCGAUACACUCUCAACGAGUCGAGUUGUUUGGGAAUGCAGCUCAAAAUGGGUGGUAAAUUCCAUCUAAAGCUAAAUAUUGGCGAGAGACCGAUAGCGAACAAGUACCGUGAGGGAAAGAUGAAAAGCACUUUGGAAAGAGAGUGAAACAGUACGUGAAAUUGUUGAAAGGGAAGCGUUUGAAGUCAGUCGCGUCUGUCGGGGUUCAGCCUGGCUUCUGCCUGGUGUAUUCCCUGUCCGACGGGUCAGCAUCAGUUUCCGCCGAGAGAGAAAGGCUUGGGGAAUGUGGCCAUCUUCGGGUGGUGUUAUAGCCCUUUGUCAUAUGUCUCGGUGGGGACUGAGGACUGCAGCGCGCCUUACGGCCGGGGUUCGCCCUCGGUACGCGCUUAGGAUGCUGGCAUAAUGGCUUUAAGCGACCCGUCUUGAAACACGGACCAAGGAGUCUAACAUGUGCGCGAGUGUUUGGGUGUCAAACCCGAGCGCGUAAUGAAAGUGAAAGGUCGGGAUCACGUACGUGUGCACCGACGCCCGGAGCAGACCUACUGUGACGCAUCUGCGGUGGAGCGUAUAUGUUGGGACCCGAAAGAUGGUGAACUAUGCCUGAAUAGGGUGAAGCCAGAGGAAACUCUGGUGUAGGCUCGUAGCGAUUCUGACGUGCAAAUCGAUCGUCAA
This 831-nucleotide ribosomal RNA is filed under the name mycorrhizal basidiomycete sp. M4. RNAcentral describes it as "eukaryotic LSU rRNA". It matches the Rfam family "Eukaryotic large subunit ribosomal RNA", at positions 89 to 908 of the family's 3401-position model. The record is from RNAcentral. Lineage: Eukaryota; Fungi; Basidiomycota.